CCUACGGUGGGCUGCAGUAGGGAAUAUUGCUCAAUGGGGGCAACCCUGAAGCAGCAACGCCGCGUGGAGGAUGAAGGUUUUCGGAUUGUAAACUCCUUUUGUUACAAAAGAUAAUGACGGUAUCUAACGAAUAAGCACCGGCUAACUCCGUUCCAGCAGCCGCGUUAGUACGGCGGGGGCAAGCGUUACUCGGAAUCACUGGGCGUAAAGAGCGCGUAGGCGGGAUAGCAAGUCAGAUGUGAAAUCCUAUGGCUUAACCAUAGAACUGCAUUUGAAACUGUUAUUCUAGAGUAUGGGAGAGGUAGGUGGAAUUCUUGGUGUAGGGGUAAAAUCCGUAGAGAUCAAGAGGAAUACUCAUUGCGAAGGCGACCUGCUAGACCAUAACUGACGCUGAUGCGCGAAAGCGUGGGGAGCAAACAGGAUUAGAUACCCGGGUAGUC
RNAcentral lists this ribosomal RNA (440 nucleotides) under uncultured bacterium. RNAcentral describes it as "partial 16S ribosomal RNA". It matches the Rfam family "Bacterial small subunit ribosomal RNA", at positions 338 to 795 of the family's 1533-position model. The record is from RNAcentral.